UACGUAGGGUCCGAGCGUUGUCCGGAAUUAUUGGGCGUAAAGAGCUCGUAGGCGGUCUGUCACGUCGGCUGUGAAAACACGGGGCUCAACUCCGUGCCUGCAGUCGAUACGGGCAGACUAGAGUUCGGUAGGGGAGACUGGAAUUCCUGGUGUAGCGGUGAAAUGCGCAGAUAUCAGGAGGAACACCGGUGGCGAAGGCGGGUCUCUGGGCCGAAACUGACGCUGAGACGCGAAAGCGUGGGGAGCGAACAGG
This 253-nucleotide ribosomal RNA is filed under the name uncultured bacterium. Its description in RNAcentral is "partial 16S ribosomal RNA". It matches the Rfam family "Bacterial small subunit ribosomal RNA", at positions 524 to 776 of the family's 1533-position model. The record is from RNAcentral.